GAUGAACGCUGGCGGCGUGCCUAAUACAUGCAAGUCGAGCGAACGGACGAGAAGCUUGCUUCUCUGAUGUUAGCGGCGGACGGGUGAGUAACACGUGGAUAACCUACCUAUAAGACUGGGAUAAGUUCGGGAAACCGGAGCUAAUACCGGAUAAUAUUUUGAACCGCAUGGUUCAAAAGUAAAAGACGGUCUUGCUGUCACUUAUAGAUGGAUCCGCGCUGCAUUAGCUAGUUGGUAAGGUAACGGCUUACCAAGGCAACGAUGCAUAGCCGACCUGAGAGGGUGAUCGGCCACACUGGAACUGAGACACGGUCCAGACUCCUACGGGAGGCAGCAGUAGGGAAUCUUCCGCAAUGGGCGAAAGCCUGACGGAGCAACGCCGCGUGAGUGAUGAAGGUCUUCGGAUCGUAAAGCUCUGUUAGUAGGGAAGAACACAUGUGUAAGUAACUGUGCACAUCUUGACGGUACCUAAUCAGAAAGCCACGGCUAACUACGUG
This 497-nucleotide ribosomal RNA is filed under the name uncultured bacterium. RNAcentral's name for it is "partial 16S ribosomal RNA". It matches the Rfam family "Bacterial small subunit ribosomal RNA", at positions 28 to 507 of the family's 1533-position model. The record is from RNAcentral.